Molecule: ribosomal RNA, 502 nt
Filed under: uncultured bacterium
Lineage: Bacteria
Description: bacterial SSU rRNA
Rfam family: Bacterial small subunit ribosomal RNA
Source: RNAcentral
GAUGAACGCUAGCUACAGGCUUAACACAUGCAAGUCGAGGGGCAGCAUGACGAUAGCUUGCUAUUGUCGAUGGCGACCGGCGCACGGGUGAGUAACGCGUAUCCAACCUUCCCGUUGCUAGGGGAUAACCUUGCGAAAGUAAGACUAAUACCCUAUGAAGUUCUUCGCAGGCAUCUAAAGAGAACGAAAGAUUUAUCGGCAACGGAUGGGGAUGCGUCUGAUUAGGUUGUUGGCGGGGUAACGGCCCACCAAGCCAUCGAUCAGUAGGGGUUCUGAGAGGAAGGUCCCCCANAUUGGAACUGAGACACGGUCCAAACUCCUACGGGAGGCAGCAGUGAGGAAUAUUGGUCAAUGGGCGAGAGUCUGAACCAGCCAAGUAGCGUGCAGGAUGACGGCCCUAUGGGUUGUAAACUGCUUUUAUAAGGGAAUAAAGUGAGCCUCGUGAGGUCUUUUUGCAUGUACCUUAUGAAUAAGGACCGGCUAAUUCCGUGCCAGCAGCCGG